Molecule: ribosomal RNA, 305 nt
Filed under: uncultured bacterium
Lineage: Bacteria
Description: bacterial SSU rRNA
Rfam family: Bacterial small subunit ribosomal RNA
Source: RNAcentral
CCCUACGGGGGGCAGCAGUAGGGAAUUUUCGUCAAUGGGCGCAAGCCUGAACGAGCGAUGCCGCGUGAGUGAAGAAGGCCUUCGGGUCGUAAAGCUCUGUUGCGGGGGAAAAAAGGCAGCAUCAGGAAAUGGGUGCUGACUGAUGGUGCCCCGCCAGGAAGCCACGGCUAACUACGUGCCAGCAGCCGCGGUAAUACGUAGGUGGCGAGCGUUAUCCGGAAUUAUUGGGCGUAAAGAGGGAGCAGGCGGCAGCUAAGGUCUGCGGUGAAAGCCCGAAGCUAAACUUCGGUAAGCCGUGGAAACCG